RNAcentral lists this unclassified non-coding RNA (3080 nucleotides) under Aphidius gifuensis. Its description in RNAcentral is "aTP-binding cassette sub-family D member, transcript variant X1". The record is from RNAcentral. Lineage: Eukaryota; Metazoa; Arthropoda; Insecta; Hymenoptera; Braconidae.
UGUUGGAAUCAUUUGAAUAAUAUGAUUUUAUCUUUCACUGUGUGCCAAAUAUAUAUACUUACAUUGAAAUAAAUAUAUUAAAGCAGAGAAGGGGAAAAAUUCUGUCGGUCAAUUUUAAAACGAAUGAAACUGAUGAGUUUCUUGGACCAGCUAUAAUAUUGUACAGUUGUAUAGUCACAAUACAAGUUUAUAUAAAAUAAUAUAUCGCAUAUACAAAUAUGCAACAGAGUCAGGAUGGAGUGGAUCGGUUAACGGAGUUUAAGUAGUAGGAGAACACAGCAGUCAGACUUGCCAGAUUGAAAAUAAGCCAGUAACACGAGUAUACUGUUAGCUGACUGUUCGUUCGUUGCAUUUAUUACUCAUAAAAAAAUUUAUUAAUCAUCGCAAAAAUUUAACGUAAUUUAUAAAAUUAAUAAAAUUAAUAAAACAAAUAUAAAAAAAUUAUUUUUUUUCAUCUUCAAAUGAUAUAUAAAGUGUUUUAAAAAAAUAAAAAGAAAAAAAAAACAAAAAUAAAAAAAAACAUUAUGACUUCGGUGUUUUCAAAAUUAAUUGAUAAAACAUCAGCAAAAUGUGGUAUUCAACAAGGAACUAUGACUCGUGGAGUUGUUGCUGCUGUAACAACAUUUUACAUGAUCAAAUUAACAUAUCCGUAUUUAAUAAAAAUGAAAAAAUCAAAACAAAAAAAUACUGAUAAUGAUAAAUUAAAAAUAGAAAAUAAUUUUAAUAAUGACAAUAAUAAUAAUAAUAGUAAUAAUGAAAAUAAAAAUAAUAGUAAAAAAUUAGAUGGUGAUAUUAAUCUUGGUUUAAAUAGAGUUUUUUUAAAACAAUUAUUAAUGUUAUUAAAAAUAAUGGUACCAGGAUGGCGUUCAAAAGAAACUGGUUUAUUAAUAUGUGCAACAAUAACACUUCUUGCUCGUACAUUUAUAUCUGUUUAUGUUGCAACACUUGAAGGACAAAUUGUCAAACGUAUUGUACUCAAGGAUGUCAGUGGUUUUUUUAAAAUGUUAACAAGAUGGUUUGCAAUUGCAUUACCAGCAACAUUUGUUAAUUCUGUUAUUCGUUAUCUUGAAGGAAGACUUGCAUUAAGUUUUCGUGAACGUCUUGUUAAGUAUGCAUACAAAAUGUAUUUGAGUCAACAAACAUAUUAUCGAGUUUCAACACUGGACAAUAGACUUGGAGGGGCCGAACAAAGACUGACCGAUGAUUUAUCGGAAUUAGCUAGUUCAGUUGCACAUCUUUAUUCAAGUCUUACAAAACCAUUACUUGAUUGUGUACUUGUUGGUAUUGCACUUGUAUCAUUUUCAACAAAACUCGGUGCUAAAACAGUACCAGGUCCACUUGUUGCUGUUGGUGUUAUUGCAAUAACCGGUCAGGUACUUAGACUUGCAUCACCAAAAUUUGGUCAGCUUGUUGCUGAGGAAGCAUCAAAACGUGGUAGAUUACGUGAAGCACAUGCACGUAUAAGUGCACAUGCUGAAGAAAUUGCAUUUUAUGGUGGUCAUAAUGCUGAACAUCUUUAUCUUAGUACAGCAUAUAGAUCACUUGUUGUACAUAUUAGAAAAGUAUUGGCUGUUAAAUUAUGGUACAUAAUGCUUGAACAAUUUUUAAUGAAAUAUGUUUGGUCUGGUACUGGACUAUUUGUCAUUGCAAUGCCACUACUUUACACAAAUAAUAAAACAGUCAAUUCACAUGCUGAUGGUGAUGGUGGUGUCAGUGAACGUACACGUUAUUUAACAACAUCAAAGAAUUUAUUGAGUUCAGGUGCUGAUGCUGUUGAAAGACUCAUGUCUUCAUACAAGGAAUUAGUUGCACUUGCUGGUUAUGCAAAUCGUGUAAGUGAAAUGUUAAAUGUAUUUAAAGAUGCUGCUCUUUGUAAAUAUCAAAGAACAGUUGUUACAAAUCAACAAACAAUAAGAAUGACAAAUACCAUGACAAUGAAAACAGAAAGAAAAUUGGAAUUUAAAGAUGGUUCACCAAUUAUUAAAGGAAUUGUUUGUGAUAGUUUAGAUGGUACAAUUGCACUUGAUGAUGUACCAAUUGUCACACCAAAUUGUGAAAUAAUUGUACAAAGUUUAUCAAUAAUAAUAAAACCAGGUGAUCAUUUAUUAAUAACUGGACCAAAUGGUUGUGGUAAAAGUUCAUUAUUUAGAAUAAUAUCUGGUUUAUGGCCAGUUUAUGGUGGUUCAUUAACACGUCCUGGUGAAUCAUAUUAUUUACGAACAAAUAGACCAGCAAUGUUUUAUAUACCACAAAAACCAUACAUGACUAUUGGUUGUUUACGUGAACAAAUAACAUAUCCAGUACAAGUUAAACCCGAUAGAAAAAAUGAUGAAGAGCUAUUAAAAUUAUUGGAUCUUGUUGAUUUACGUUCAUUGGCUGAACGUGAACAAAAUGGUCUUGAUGCUAUUGGUGAUUGGGACUCAACACUUUCUGGUGGUGAAAAACAACGUUUAGCAAUGACAAGACUAUUUUAUAAUACACCACAGUAUGCAUUACUUGAUGAAUGUACAAGUGCUGUUAGUCUUGAAGCUGAAGGUUCAAUGUAUGAAACAGCUAAAAAAAAAGGAAUAACAUUAUUAACAAUAACACAUCGUGUAUCAUCACUUGCUAAAUAUCAUAAUUAUGUACUUAAAUUUGAUGGUGAAGGUGGAUGGAAUUUUGGUCUUCUUGAUAUAAAUAAUUUAACAACAAAUCAUCAUUUAAAAAUAGACAAUGAUUUUAAAGAAGAAAAAAAUUGUCAACUUCCAAAAAUACAGGAAAUUCAAGAUUUGGUUACUGAUGAAAAUCAACAACACAUUGGAAUAAGUUGAGACGCAAAGAAAUUCAUUAAAAAUACGUUGUUAAUGUUUUUGUGGCUAAAUUUCUGUGAUGUUUUAAAAAGCUUAUUGGAAUAAAAUAUAUAUUGAUAUUCAAGCUGCAUGUGAGAACCAAUCAUUUUAAGAAAUGAAAAAAAAUUAAAUAUGGGUGAUAUUGUUAUAUUAUGUAUUCAAUUUAUUAUGAUUUUAUAAAUGUAUGCAUUUUUUUUUAAAUUUAUUCAUUUUACAAAAAAAAAAAAACGAAAUAAAAAAUUACAAACGUAA